This 447-nucleotide ribosomal RNA is filed under the name uncultured bacterium. RNAcentral describes it as "bacterial SSU rRNA". It matches the Rfam family "Bacterial small subunit ribosomal RNA", at positions 328 to 792 of the family's 1533-position model. The record is from RNAcentral.
GACCCAGACUCCUACGGGAGGCAGCAGUGGGGAAUAUUGCACAAUGGGGGGAACCCUGAUGCAGCGGCGCCGCGUGAGUGAAGAAGUAUUUCGGUAUGUAAAGCUCUAUCAGCAGGGAAGAAGAUGACGGUACCUGACUAAGAAGCCCCGGCUAACUACGUGCCAGCAGCCGCGGUAAUACGUAGGGGGCAAGCGUUAUCCGGAUUUACUGGGUGUAAAGGGAGCGUAGACGGCAGGGCAAGUCUGGAGUGAAAGCCCGGGGCCCAACCCCGGGACUGCUUUGGAAACUGCCAUGCUGGAGUGCUGGAGAGGUAAGCGGAAUUCCUAGUGUAGCGGUGAAAUGCGUAGAUAUUAGGAGGAACACCAGUGGCGAAGGCGGCUUACUGGACAGUAACUGACGUUGAGGCUCGAAAGCGUGGGGAGCAAACAGGAUUAGAUACCCCCGUA